This 467-nucleotide ribosomal RNA is filed under the name uncultured bacterium. Its description in RNAcentral is "partial 16S ribosomal RNA". It matches the Rfam family "Bacterial small subunit ribosomal RNA", at positions 29 to 507 of the family's 1533-position model. The record is from RNAcentral.
ACGAACGCUGGCGGCGUGCUUAACACAUGCAAGUCGCACGGAAAGGCCCUGCUUUUGUGGGGUGCUCGAGUGGCGAACGGGUGAGUAACACGUGAGUAACCUGCCCUCGACUUUGGGAUAACUUCAGGAAACUGGGGCUAAUACCGGAUAGGAGCUCCUGCUGCAUGGUGGGGGUUGGAAAGUUUCGGCGGUUGGGGAUGGACUCGCGGCUUAUCAGCUUGUUGGUGGGGUAGUGGCUUACCAAGGCUUUGACGGGUAGCCGGCCUGAGAGGGUGACCGGCCACAUUGGGACUGAGAUACGGCCCAGACUCCUACGGGAGGCAGCAGUGGGGAAUAUUGCACAAUGGGCGGAAGCCUGAUGCAGCAACGCCGCGUGCGGGAUGACGGCCUUCGGGUUGUAAACCGCUUUCGCCUGUGACGAAGCGUGAGUGACGGUAAUGGGUAAAGAAGCACCGGCUAACUACGUG